GUCUUCCCAGGCCCACCACUUUCAUCGAGUGAGCAUUCGUCUUCUGGUUACGGGGCCAUAGCUCAGCUGGGAGAGCGCGUGCUUUGCAAGCAUGAGGUCGUCGGUUCGAUCCCGUCUGGCUCCACCAGAUGGUUUGAUCAUCGACUGAUCGUGCACCGUCGUCCGCGAAACAUCACUUCGCAUCCUGCUAGUCUGGAUAGACAGCAAGAUGCGUGUUUUCUGACAUCGUAAAGAGGAGAUCGAUCCGAGUUGGGUCGUGUAGCAGAUUGCUGCGCGAGCCUUCAUUAUCUCCGGAUCAUUUUCGGCGCUCGCGUCCGGCCGCAAGGUUGGUUCGCAAGUUGUAAAAUGAUCCUUUUAGCGAAGCUUGACCGCCUCGCUAUCGGAACGAUCUUACGAAGCAAGCUGGUCUUUCUAGUCAAUGUCCGGCUGCGACAACAGCAUCUUCGAGGGUGCAUGCCUUCAAUGGCAGUUGCGCAGACAACAUUCUGCCGAGUGUGUGGACAUUGAUAAUGAGAGCAAUCAAGUGCCUUAAGGGUGUUCGGUGGAUGCCUUGGCGCUGAGAGGCGAUGAAGGACGUGCUACGCUGCGAUAAGCC
Molecule: unclassified non-coding RNA, 595 nt
Filed under: Bradyrhizobium sp. STM 3061
Lineage: Bacteria; Pseudomonadati; Pseudomonadota; Alphaproteobacteria; Hyphomicrobiales; Nitrobacteraceae
Description: partial 16S-23S ribosomal RNA intergenic spacer
Rfam family: tRNA (bases 52-124)
Source: RNAcentral